GGAUUAGAUACCCUGGUAGUCCACGCUGUAAACGAUGAUCACUCGAUGCUGGCGAUACACUGUCAGUGUCCAAGCGAAAGCGUUAAGUGAUCCACCUGGGGAGUACGGUCGCAAGAUUGAAACUCAAAGGAAUUGACGGGGGCCCGCACAAGCGGUGGAGCAUGUGGUUUAAUUCGAUGAUACGCGAGGAACCUUACCAAGGCUUAAAUGUAUAUUGACCGUCCCGGAAACGGGAUUUCUCUUCGGAGCAAUUUACAAGGUGCUGCAUGGUUGUCGUCAGCUCGUGCUG
This 289-nucleotide ribosomal RNA is filed under the name uncultured bacterium. RNAcentral's name for it is "partial 16S ribosomal RNA". It matches the Rfam family "Bacterial small subunit ribosomal RNA", at positions 775 to 1067 of the family's 1533-position model. The record is from RNAcentral.